ACGCUCGACACCUACGCGAGGCAGCAGUGGGGAAUAUUGCACAAUGGGGGAAACCCUGAUGCAGCGACGCCGCGUGAGCGAAGAAGUAUUUCGGUAUGUAAAGCUCUAUCAGCAGGAAAGAAGAAAGACGGUACCUGACUAAGAAGCCCCGGCUAACUACGUGUCAGCAGCCGCGGUAAUCUGAGCGGGCUGGCAAGGC
Molecule: ribosomal RNA, 199 nt
Filed under: uncultured bacterium
Lineage: Bacteria
Description: partial 16S ribosomal RNA
Rfam family: Bacterial small subunit ribosomal RNA
Source: RNAcentral